This 464-nucleotide ribosomal RNA is filed under the name uncultured Klebsiella sp. RNAcentral's name for it is "bacterial SSU rRNA". It matches the Rfam family "Bacterial small subunit ribosomal RNA", at positions 339 to 795 of the family's 1533-position model. Lineage: Bacteria; Pseudomonadati; Pseudomonadota; Gammaproteobacteria; Enterobacterales; Enterobacteriaceae. The record is from RNAcentral.
CUACGGGCGGCAGCCGUGGGGAAUAUUGCACAAUGGGCGCAAGCCUGAUGCAGCCAUGCCGCGUGUGUGAAGAAGGCCUUCGGGUUGUAAAGCACUUUCAGCGGGGAGGAAGGCGUUAAGGUUAAUAACCUUGGCGAUUGACGUUACCCGCAGAAGAAGCACCGGCUAACUCCGUGCCAGCAGCCGCGGUAAUACGGAGGGUGCAAGCGUUAAUCGGAAUUACUGGGCGUAAAGCGCACGCAGGCGGUCUGUCAAGUCGGAUGUGAAAUCCCCGGGCUCAACCUGGGAACUGCAUUCGAAACUGGCAGGCUAGAGCCUUGUAGAGGGGGGUAGAAUUCCAGGUGUAGCGGUGAAAUGCGUAGAGAUCUGGAGGAAUACCGGUGGCGAAGGCGGCCCCCUGGACAAAGACUGACGCUCAGGUGCGAAAGCGUGGGGAGCAAACAGGAUUAGAUACCCGAGUAGUC